UCUGAAUCUUUGCGAACGGCUCCGCACACCAGUUGCAAACCAAAGCAAGCAAGCCCGGUCUCGACGCCUUUCGGGGCUAGGGGCCGGGCUACAAGGAUAACCCUGGUAAUUCUGAGGCUAAUACUUGACACGAACCUGCUGACUGGGUCUCGGCUCGGGAGGUGGGGGAUGUGCGACUAUCGGGCCAACGAAACCGGAAAGAGCGCACGUUCAGACCACUUAAAAAGGCUUCGGGGUCCUUCGGGAUCCCGGGGCUGUGGCUCUUGCAGCGUGCUUCUGACCUAUCAACUAGACGGCAGCCUAAGGGACAUGCUUUGGUGACAACGGUA
RNAcentral lists this ribosomal RNA (329 nucleotides) under uncultured myxomycete. Its description in RNAcentral is "SSU rRNA". It matches the Rfam family "Eukaryotic small subunit ribosomal RNA", at positions 80 to 360 of the family's 1831-position model. Lineage: Eukaryota; Evosea; Eumycetozoa. The record is from RNAcentral.